GCUCGUUAUAUUUUUGGCGGCCGAGCUACGCCUCGUGCUGUCUUAUCCUGGUGUUUAGGGAGAGGGAAGGGGAACCUGGUCAGAAGCUGAGACCUCCCCACUAAGGAGAAGUGGGGACAGGGUGAAAGCUGAGGCCUUAGCAGGACAGUGUCAGGGCACAGGGCCUCUGUGUGUCCUUGGUUUACAUCGACCUGGUUCUGGUGUCCCCACAGCCUCUGGCAGCCGCCUGGCAGUGCCUCCUCUGACUAUUCCCUGAGAGGCUGGGGGACGAUCCAAGCAGCUCUGUAGCAGCCCUGGGACCCCUCCUCCCUGGGUUCAGCGAGCUCCCUGUGCCCUGGGGGCUGAGGUGGCACGGGUGCCACGGCGCAGCCCAGAGGUUGCAAGUUCGAGGCCAUAGCAGAAGUGCUCACGGCGUGACCGGUCACAUUCUGUGAAUGAAGCUGUGAAUUCUGCUAAAUACCUUGUCACAAGGACACGAAAAGGAAAGGAGGUGGGCCCUGGGUGUGGCACAGACACAUGGGAGGCUUGGUCAUGGAAGAGCCUGGCAGGUGGUUUUGAUUUGAAGUGCACCAGCCCUGGCCUGAAGGACAGGGGAAUGGAAGCAGACAGGCGGCGUGAUCUGGGGGCUUGGCGAAGGUCUCGUGUGAGCGGGGCCCCGGCAGGCAGGAUGCAGCGUUGCAGAGGGACGCACAGGACACAUCUGCAGCCAAGCAGAUAAGGCUGAGUUCAGAGACGCACCAUGCAAGGAUCUCUCUGGCCCCACGGCUUCCGGAGCCGCAGAGAGGCUCCUUCCUGCUGACAAGGGGCCCUUGGCUGUGGUGUGUGGGGGCUCCUUGAUCAUGUCACCCCACAUACAAUGGUAUGAGGCCCCCCGGGUCAUGAGACUGUGUCACCAUCCUUCAGGAAUUCCCCGAGCCUUUGUCUCCUCUCCUGUUGGGAUCUUGGGCUCUUUAACGCCCCAGCAGCCUCUGCCAAGUCCCAGGGGUCUCCCCAGCACCAUCCUGCACUCCUUGGAUAUGUGCAGAAUGGGUGCAGCAUGCUGCAGAGCAACAGAAAAGGCUCUGAAUUGCUUUUCCCCUAGCAGGAGACAGGCAAGCCAGUGAGAUGAGGGGCUGCGGGGACAGCCUGGGGAAAGGGGAUGCUGCCUUAGAGGCAGUGAGGGAGGGUGCUAGGUGUUUGCACACCUGGGCCUGCCUUCCAUGGAGGGAGUAAGCACAGGAGCUGCCAUGUGGCCAGCAGGAACUGUGAAUUUGGUUUGGCAACUGGUUGGGAACUCAUUUCUUUCUGCUUUGCUUAUGAAUGGCCUCUUCUGUGAAGGCUGCAAGUCUGAGCCUGGCAGCUGUUUGAUGAGAUUCCUUUAUUCCAAGGAGAAAAUGAUCCUAUUUCCUUUGCUGUUGCCAUAUUCCCACAUCCUUGUGCCGAGCGCGUCCAGAGGUGGAGCUCCAGUGGGCAGGGACGAUGCCGUAUUAGAUGUUUUGCUUUUGCGAUUCUCUCGGGGUUUAUGAACCAUUACAGAAUGACUCAUGUGGCCGCAUAUUUUCCAUGCCUCAACCAGGAUCCUUUCUGUGCUCUGCAUGCAAAGCAUUAGACAUAAUCAGGUUCAGAUAGUGUGCAAAUCACAACCCGGGUGCCUAUGGCCAGGUCUCUGGGGUGGAGUAGGGAGAGGUCAGUCAUUGCUGCAUCCUUUCUUUUUCAGAUGCUGUGUGAUCUUUACUGACUGCUUUAGAUGCAGAACAGCUUGUCUGAAAAGCCUGGUGCCAGAGGUUUCCAGAGAUGCUAAUGAGCAGUGACAAUCCUGUGAUCCCUGCCUGUGGGAUGACAGGAAUGAUUUGAAAGCUGUUCCUUGCUCAGCUGAUCUUCUCCAGCUUGUGGAUACUACACAAUCCAGCUUCUAGCAGCGCAGCAGCCAAGUAACUUCUGGUUACCGCUUUCCAGACUACUAGGAGAAGGCCCAGAGGGUAAAACAGUAGAAGUGCCCAGACCAAGGCAGUUUCCAACAGGUUCUCUUGCCCCAACGGCAGGUGUUCAAUAGGAGGUGCGGCCAGCCAGGGAAAGAACCGUCCCAUCAUCAGGGUGGCUGCCAGCAGACCCGAGUUCAGUUCUGCUUUACAAGAGGUGCCUUGUGCGGCCAGCCUAAGGAUGCUCCCUGGCUGUUGGGCAGUUGUGAGGAGUAAUGUUCUGCAGCUGUGCAAGCUCAUGUACUGAGAUAGGUAUCCCUAUAAAGUGCGCUGGCUAAGAAA
Molecule: long non-coding RNA, 2240 nt
Organism: Alligator mississippiensis (American alligator)
Lineage: Eukaryota; Metazoa; Chordata; Crocodylia; Alligatoridae
Exons: 2
Source: RefSeq, a predicted model, not a curated record